GGACGGGUGAGUAACGCGUAAAUAACUUGCCCCCUAGUCUGGGACAACUGUUGGAAACGACAGCUAAUACUAGAUAUUAUGAGACCUUGGCAUCAAGGACUUAUGAAAGCUAUAUGCGCUAGGGGAGAGAUUUGCGUCCUAUUAGCUAGUUGGUGAGGUAAUGGCUCACCAAGGCGACGAUAGGUAGCCGGCCUGAGAGGGUGAACGGCCACAAGGGGACUGAGACACGGCCCUUACUCCUACGGGAGGCAGCAGUGGGGAAUAUUGGACAAUGGACCAAAAGUCUGAUCCAGCAAUUCUGUGUGCUUGAUGAAGGCCUUCGGGUUGUAAAGAGCUUUAAGUAGGGAAGAAGAAAGUGACGGUACCUACAGAAUAAGCGACGGCUAAAUACGUGCCAGCAGCCGCGGUAAUACGUAUGUCGCAAGCGUUAUCCGGAAUUAUUGGGCAUAAAGGGCGUCUAGGCGGUUUAGAAAGUCUGAUGUGAAAAUGCGGGGCUCAACCCCGUAUUGCGUUGGAAACUACUAGACUAGAGUAUUGGAGAGGUAAGCGGAACUACAAGUGUAGAGGUGAAAUUCGUAGAUAUUUGUAGGAAUGCCAAUUGGGAAGCCAGCUUACUGGACAAAUACUGACGCUGAAGCGCGAAAGCUAGGGGAGCAAACAGGAUUAGAUACCCUGGUAGUCCUAGCUGUAAACGAUGAUCACUGGGU
This 707-nucleotide ribosomal RNA is filed under the name uncultured bacterium. RNAcentral describes it as "bacterial SSU rRNA". It matches the Rfam family "Bacterial small subunit ribosomal RNA", at positions 100 to 821 of the family's 1533-position model. The record is from RNAcentral.